This 253-nucleotide ribosomal RNA is filed under the name uncultured bacterium. Its description in RNAcentral is "partial 16S ribosomal RNA". It matches the Rfam family "Bacterial small subunit ribosomal RNA", at positions 524 to 776 of the family's 1533-position model. The record is from RNAcentral.
UACAGAGGGGGCAAGCGUUAUUCGGAAUUAUUGGGCGUAAAGGGCGCGUAGGCGGCUUUGCAAGUGGCGGGUGAAAUCCCUCGGCUUAACCGAGGAACUGCCUGUCAAACUGCAUGGCUUGAGACCAGGAGAGGUGAGUGGAAUUCCCAGUGUAGCGGUGAAAUGCGUAGAUAUUGGGAGGAACACCAGUGGCGAAGGCGGCUCACUGGACUGGUACUGACGCUGAGACGCGAAAGCGUGGGGAGCGAACCGG